UUGGAGGGCAAGUCUGGUGCCAGCAGCCGCGGUAAUUCCAGCUCCAAUAGCGUAUAUUAAAGUUGUUGCAGUUAAAAAGCUCGUAGUUGAAUUUUGGAUUCGGCCAAUUGGUCCAUCUUUUAGAUGAGUACUGGUUGUGUUGGGUCUAUCCGCCUGGUGAUACGUAAUGUCCUUUAUUGGGUGUUGCGGGUAGUCAGGACCUUUACCUUGAAAAAAUUAGAGUGUUUAAAGCAGGCUUAUGCCGGAAUACAUUAGCAUGGAAUAAUAGAAUAGGACGAAGUUGUUUUAUUUUGUUGGUUUCUAGGACAACCGUAAUGAUUAAUAGGGAUAGUUGGG
Molecule: ribosomal RNA, 336 nt
Filed under: Archaeospora sp.
Lineage: Eukaryota; Fungi; Glomeromycota; Glomeromycetes; Archaeosporales; Archaeosporaceae
Description: SSU rRNA
Rfam family: Eukaryotic small subunit ribosomal RNA
Source: RNAcentral